This 254-nucleotide ribosomal RNA is filed under the name uncultured bacterium. RNAcentral describes it as "partial 16S ribosomal RNA". It matches the Rfam family "Bacterial small subunit ribosomal RNA", at positions 524 to 776 of the family's 1533-position model. The record is from RNAcentral.
UACGUAGGGGGCAAGCGUUGUCCGGAAUUAUUGGGCGUAAAGAGCUCGUAGGCGGCUUGGCAAGUCGGAUGUGAAAACUCCAGGCUCAACCUGGAGCCGCCAUUCGAUACUGCUAUGGCUAGAGUCCGGUAGGGGAGUGUGGAAUUCCCGGUGUAGCGGUGAAAUGCGCAGAUAUCGGGAGGAACACCGAUGGCGAAGGCAGCACUCUGGGCCGGCACUGACGCUGAGGAGCGAAAGCGUGGGGAGCGAACAGG